UUUACUUAUGGGUGCACAUCUGUUCAUUGCUCGCUGAGGCCAGAAGAGAACAUCAGAUGUCCUGGAUCUGGAGUUAUCACACACAGAUAACUUGUGAGCCGCCACAUGCUAUAAAUCUAACCCAGGCCCUCUGGAAGGGCCUCACUGUGUUGCACAAGAAGACCUAGGACCCAGGUUUUCCUGCUUUAGUCUCCAAAGUGCUGGCAUUACCAACAAUACAUAAAAACAUGAGGCAGGGCACUCAGUGGGUAAAGUGAUUGCUGUCCAUGUAAGCCUGAAGCUAGAGUUCGAAUCCCCAGAAUCAGUGUAAGCCAGCUGUAACAAUACACAUCUGUAAUAACUG
This is a long non-coding RNA of Mastomys coucha (southern multimammate mouse), 343 nucleotides long. RefSeq lists it as uncharacterized. The record is from RefSeq and is a predicted model, not a curated record. The transcript has 2 exons. NCBI's taxonomy places the organism in Eukaryota, Metazoa, Chordata, Mammalia, Rodentia, Muridae.